RNAcentral lists this ribosomal RNA (301 nucleotides) under uncultured bacterium. Its description in RNAcentral is "partial 16S ribosomal RNA". It matches the Rfam family "Bacterial small subunit ribosomal RNA", at positions 509 to 807 of the family's 1533-position model. The record is from RNAcentral.
CAGUAGCCGCGGGAAUACGAAGGUCCCGAGCGUUGUUCGGAAUCACUGGGCGUAAAGGGAGCGUAGGCGGCGUGGUAAGUCAGAUGUGAAAUCCCGGGGCUCAACCCCGGAACUGCAUCCGAUACUGCCAUGCUAGAGGAUUGGAGAGGUAGCUGGAAUUCUUGGUGUAGCAGUGAAAUGCGUGGAGAUCAAGAGGAACACUCGUGGCGAAGGCGACUAUCUGGGCCAACACUGACAUUGAGGCACGAAAGCGUGGGGAGCAAACAGGAUUAGAUACCCGUGUAGUCCCUGUCUCUUAUAC